AAUAUUGGACAAUGGGGGCAACCAUGAUCCAGCCAUGACGCGUGUGUGAAGUAGGUCUGCGGAUUGUUAUGCACAUUAAGUUGGGAGGGAGGGCUUAAGGCUAAUAUCAUGAAGUUUUGACGUUACCAACAGUAUAAGCACCGGCUAACUCUGUACCAGAAGACGCGGUAAUACCGAGGGUGCAAGCGUUAAUCGGAAUUACUUGGCGUUAAGCGCGCGUAGGUGGUUCAGUAAGAUGGGUGUGAAAUCCCCGGGCUUAACCUGGGAACUGCUUUCAUAACUGCUGAGCUAGAGUACGGUAGAGGGUAGUGGAAUUUCCUGUGUAGCGGUGAAAUGCGUAGAUAUAGGAAGGAACACCAGUGGCGAAGGCGACUACCUGGACUGAUACUGACACUGAGGUGCGAAAGCGUGGGGAGCAAACA
This 422-nucleotide ribosomal RNA is filed under the name uncultured bacterium. Its description in RNAcentral is "partial 16S ribosomal RNA". It matches the Rfam family "Bacterial small subunit ribosomal RNA", at positions 360 to 774 of the family's 1533-position model. The record is from RNAcentral.